CAGCUGUAGAAAGUACAUCACAGAACAUCUCUGACUUCUUCAUCAGGGAGCUAUUUAGAGGAAUGACUGUAAUAGCUACUUUCGUGAAGCAGAGGUGGAAACUCCAAGAAAGUCAUACUUGAGUCAUGAAACCAUAGCUCGAAAUGUUCAAAUGUUAAGUUGAACUAAUUGAUUGACAUUGUAUUGCGCUAAGCGAAGAGAG
Long non-coding RNA from Pelobates fuscus (common spadefoot toad), 202 nucleotides. RefSeq lists it as uncharacterized. The transcript has 3 exons. Lineage: Eukaryota; Metazoa; Chordata; Amphibia; Anura; Pelobatidae. The record is from RefSeq and is a predicted model, not a curated record.